CUGCUGCCUUCCGUAGGAGUUUGGUCCGUGUCUCAGUACCAGUGUGGGGGACCUUCCUCUCAGAACCCCUACGCAUCGUCGGUUAGGUGGCCGUUACCCCGCCUACUGCCUAAUGCGCCGCAUGCCCAUCCCUGUCCGGCCGAAGCCUUUCCUGCCUCCGGGAUGCCCCGGUGGCAUGUACGCGGGUUUAGCCCGCCUUUCGGCGGGUUGUCCCCCUGACAGGGGCAGGUUGCAUACGUGUUACUCACCCGUGCGCCGGUCGCCGGCGGAGAAAG
Molecule: ribosomal RNA, 275 nt
Filed under: uncultured bacterium
Lineage: Bacteria
Description: partial 16S ribosomal RNA
Source: RNAcentral